This 234-nucleotide long non-coding RNA is filed under the name Nicotiana benthamiana. Its description in RNAcentral is "long non-coding RNA (NBEN_LNC032968)". Lineage: Eukaryota; Viridiplantae; Streptophyta; Magnoliopsida; Solanales; Solanaceae. The record is from RNAcentral.
AAGAAAAUACACUCCGAUAUCACGAUGAAAAACUCAGAAAGGUGUCCGAUAGGUCGGAAUCUUCAUCGACCAUGAGGUCUCAGAAAACACCCCCAAAAAAUCUCGAAACAGACUUCAUCCAAGAAAACGAAGUACAUAUAAACAUAGUCGGAUCGUCGUCUAGGCUUUGAUACCAUGUUAACAUCGAGAUUAAACCGAAAAAUGAUGAAGAAUGUAGAGAGAGAAAGUAGAGAG